UACGUAGGGCGCAAGCGUUAUCCGGAAUUAUUGGGCGUAAAGAGCUCGUAGGCGGUUUGUCGCGUCUGCCGUGAAAGUCCGGGGCUCAACUCCGGAUCUGCGGUGGGUACGGGCAGACUAGAGUGAUGUAGGGGAGACUGGAAUUCCUGGUGUAGCGGUGAAAUGCGCAGAGUAUCAGGAGGAACACCGAUGGCGAAGGCAGGUCUCUGGGCAUUAACUGACGCUGAGGAGCGAAAGCAUGGGGAGCGAACAGGA
RNAcentral lists this ribosomal RNA (255 nucleotides) under uncultured bacterium. RNAcentral's name for it is "partial 16S ribosomal RNA". It matches the Rfam family "Bacterial small subunit ribosomal RNA", at positions 524 to 777 of the family's 1533-position model. The record is from RNAcentral.